ACUCCUACGGGAGGCAGCAGUGGGAAUAUUGCACAAUGGGAAGCCAUCGAUGCAGCCAUGCCGCGCUGUGUGAAGAAGGCCAAUCGGGCUUGGUUAAAGACACUUUCAGCGAGGAGGAAAGGGUGUGUGCUAAUACCAUACAUCUGUGACGUUACUCGCAGAAGAAGCACCGGCUAACUCCGUGCCAGCAGCCGCGGUAAUACGGAGGGUGCGAGCGUUAAUCGGAAUUACUGGGCGUAAAGCGUGCGCAGGCGGUUUGUUAAGCGAGAUGUGAAAGCCCGC
Molecule: ribosomal RNA, 282 nt
Filed under: uncultured bacterium
Lineage: Bacteria
Description: partial 16S ribosomal RNA
Rfam family: Bacterial small subunit ribosomal RNA
Source: RNAcentral